AUUGAACGCUGGCGGCAUGCUUUACACAUGCAAGUCGAACGGUAACAGGGAGCUUGCUCCGCUGACGAGUGGCGAACGGGUGAGUAAUAUAUCGGAACGUACCCAAGAGUGGGGGAUAACGUAGCGAAAGUUACGCUAAUACCGCAUACGAUCUAAGGAGGAAAGCAGGGGACCUUCGGGCCUUGUGCUCCUGGAGCGGCCGAUAUCUGAUUAGCUAGUUGGUGAGGUAAAGGCUCACCAAGGCGACGAUCAGUAGCUGGUCUGAGAGGACGACCAGCCACACUGGAACUGAGACACGGUCCAGACUCCUACGGGAGGCAGCAGUGGGGAAUUUUGGACAAUGGGCGCAAGCCUGAUCCAGCAAUGCCGCGUGAGUGAAGAAGGCCUUCGGGUUGUAAAGCUCUUUUGUCAGGGAAGAAACGGGAUUGGCUAAUAUCCAGUCCUAAUGACGGUACCUGAAGAAUAAGCACCGGCUAACUACGUG
Molecule: ribosomal RNA, 484 nt
Filed under: uncultured bacterium
Lineage: Bacteria
Description: partial 16S ribosomal RNA
Rfam family: Bacterial small subunit ribosomal RNA
Source: RNAcentral